Molecule: microRNA precursor, 82 nt
Filed under: Astyanax mexicanus (Mexican tetra)
Lineage: Eukaryota; Metazoa; Chordata; Actinopteri; Characiformes; Acestrorhamphidae
Description: mir-128 microRNA precursor family
Rfam family: mir-128 microRNA precursor family
Source: Rfam by way of RNAcentral
GGGCGGUAGGAUACGGGGCCGUGGCACUGUCUGAGAGGCCGUAAGAUUCUCACAGUGAACCGGUCUCUUUUCCCACCCCUCA